Centruroides sculpturatus (bark scorpion) is the source of this 2198-nucleotide long non-coding RNA. RefSeq lists it as uncharacterized. NCBI's taxonomy places the organism in Eukaryota, Metazoa, Arthropoda, Arachnida, Scorpiones, Buthidae. The transcript is spliced from 3 exons. The record is from RefSeq and is a predicted model, not a curated record.
AUAUGUAAAUAGAGUCGAGUGGGCGUAUGCACGUAACGUCACCCCAACCGCCUACAGAGAGGUUUUGAGUGGACAUCACGAGUAACGUCACGAGCAUGGCAAUUGUCCGGCGCCAUCUUUGUGGUUUUUUUACGUCUUAUUUGUGUUUACGCGCGCUUUAGCUGGACCUCGUGUUAUUUAUUCGUCGCGAGUAUGGCGAAUUGUUGUGUAAUUGGAUGUAAUUCUAGUCAUAAUAUAUCAUCAGGGCCACCAAACCGAGGAGCUUUCACGACGUAGGCAAUCUGCAUGGCUCUGGAGAAUUAACCGGAAAAUUUUCAAUACGGAUAAAGAAUAUCAAUACAAGAGUUUGCCAGAAACAUUUCGUUUCAGUCAGAGGCACUUCAUUCAGAAAAUGUGCUCAAACAGGCAAAAAACAACAAUCUGUUAAUAAUUAUGAAAAAACAAACACCUUAUUUUUCAGAGAUCUGUGAGAAUUCAAGGUUAAAUUGAUAAGCAAUUAAUUGGGGAAGUGGAAAAACCCCAGUUUUUCCCACCACCUCAUAAUUCCGUCACAUAUGGAUAGGAGAAAUAAACAGACAACAAUGAAUCAACAAUUGUCACAAUGUUUGGACUUAUCGAAGAAACUUUGAACAAACAUCCAGUUAUUAAUGAGGGAAGCUGUCAAAAAUGAUUACCGAAUAUGGGAAUAAAAAUCGUAGAAUUAGCCAGUUUGUCAAUGUGCUGUUGGCUGACUUCCACUGGACCCAGACACAGCUCGAACUUAGACCACAUUAAAUCAAAGUCACCCGAGUCAAUUGUCAUGUGCAACGCGUAUAAAAAGGGCUCAUACCCGAUUGUCAAUGCAAUCACUGAAGGAGACCAACCUCCUGCUGGACUUCAUACUCCUUGUCUCUACGUAAGGAUCAAUCAACCUUUACAAAGGUAUCGUCAUCAGAUCAAAUGCCUAACAAGAUAUUAUGUUUGUCAAUUUUAUGUAAACUCUCUCUCUCUCUCUCUCUCUCUCGGUCGACUUAGAAUUUAAGUUAGUCCUGGUGGAUAGCUAUUUGCUUAAUGACUAAAUCUAUCAGUUUCAGGUCAAUGUUAAAUGGAACCAAGGUUAACACUAUGGAACAUUAUAAUAUUUUGUCUGUUUUAAUAUAAACAACAAAAAAAAAUUACAUGUGUUAAGUUUAUCUAAAAGUAGUAGUAACUCAUGUAUCACUACAUGUAUGACUUACCCUCCCCCACUCAAACUAUGGAGUACCCUCCUAUUUAAAUUUAUUUUAGCCGAAGAUAUUGGAAUGUUCAUGAGUUACGAUGUGAACUAUUACUAUCCUAACUGGUGUCAGGAAAAAGUCCUCAAGAUCUAACAAUCUUGAGAACAAAAUUAUUUACAGCCAUCCAGUGACAAUUGAGCAGACUUUACCAGGCCAACGCUGACCAAAGGGGUUUAACUUGUAUCCAUCAACCCCCAGCUUCUCACAGAUCUGUAUUGAAUAAAGAUCAAAACUCCCAGAACAAUGCAAUAAACCUUUCUUCUUUUACUAUUUUCUUAGCAAAAUUUUUUUAAAAAUAUGUGGUUUUGUGACAAUAUUAAUGAAAAAUUCAAGACUCGCUUUCACUUUACUAGAAAAUACUGUAAAAAUAGAAAAAAGUGAUUUCAUCUCCUGUCUAGAAAUUUCUAUUCUUCAAAAUCCAGAUAGAAACAUAAGCCCAGCUACUAUCUGCAGAAAAACCUGUGAUGGAAAACAGAAUAGGAACACAGAAAAUUUCUAUUUUCUGAAAAAGCAGGAUGUUAAUUUGCAGAAAAUAGGAACUCAAAUAAUAUAUAUACUAUUGGUUUUAUCAAAAUGAUGUCAAAAUUCUAAGAUAGAUACUUAUAUCGUCAAUAACAAAUUGUUUUCUGGUCAUAUAAUAUUUAACCUUCAGUUCUUUCAAAGCUUUUACAAAAGGGGUACAAAGAAGGUGUCCAAUAAUAUCAAAUAUUGUGAUCACAUUUCAUUAGAAAUGAUUUAAAAUUAAAUGUAUUAUGUCUGCCAUGUUGACAUAUAAAUGUCACAAAUAAUUUCUAAAUGUAAUAAGUUUUGAGAAUUGUUUAACUUUCCUGUUAUCUGCUUCUGUGGAGAGUAUUAAACCUAAAAGUUAAAAUAUUUUCUACUGUAUGCUUUAAUCAAUACCAUUAUGACAUUGAAUAGAUUCAUAUUACUAAAAAUACAAAU